GCCUAUGUAGCAUAGUGGCAUUGCACUGGUUUUGUAAGCCAGAAGUCAUGGGUUCGAUUCCCAUCGUAGGCU
This is a non-coding RNA of Dermatophagoides pteronyssinus (European house dust mite), 72 nucleotides long. Lineage: Eukaryota; Metazoa; Arthropoda; Arachnida; Sarcoptiformes; Pyroglyphidae. The record is from the annotation of a RefSeq genome assembly.